Molecule: ribosomal RNA, 497 nt
Filed under: uncultured bacterium
Lineage: Bacteria
Description: partial 16S ribosomal RNA
Rfam family: Bacterial small subunit ribosomal RNA
Source: RNAcentral
GAUGAACGCUGGCGGCGUGCCUAAUACAUGCAAGUCGAGCGAACAGACGGGGAGCUUGCUCCUCUGACGUUAGCGGCGGACGGGUGAGUAACACGUGGAUAACCUACCUAUAAGACUGGGAUAACUUCGGGAAACCGGAGCUAAUACCGGAUAAUAUAUUGAACCGCAUGGUUCAAUAGUGAAAGACGGUUUUGCUGUCACUUAUAGAUGGAUCCGCGCCGCAUUAGCUAGUUGGUAAGGUAACGGCUUACCAAGGCAACGAUGCGUAGCCGACCUGAGAGGGUGAUCGGCCACACUGGAACUGAGACACGGUCCAGACUCCUACGGGAGGCAGCAGUAGGGAAUCUUCCGCAAAGGGCGAAAGCCUGACGGAGCAACGCCGCGUGAGUGAUGAAGGUCUUCGGAUCGUAAAACUCUGUUAUUAGGGAAGAACAAAUGUGUAAGUAACUAUGCACGUCUUGACGGUACCUAAUCAGAAAGCCACGGCUAACUACGUG